ACAAACAAAAAUAGAAAACAUAGUCGCUUUACGAUAUCCUUUUAAAAAAUAAACGAGCCUUGCCUUGCCUCGCCAAAUAAAACGUACAGGCUGCGGGGCGCUCAAUGGAUGGUAAUAAAUACUUAGACCUCGGGAUGAGCCUUUUAGCGAAUUGCACGGUCUUCCAAAAAAAAAUAAUAACGCGCUAGACUCUUUAGGUGCGUAUUUUAAUAAUAUUUCCUCCCUAAACACGGGUGUACAUUUAUGUGACCAAAACCCAAAUCCCAAC
This 268-nucleotide long non-coding RNA is filed under the name Nicotiana benthamiana. RNAcentral's name for it is "long non-coding RNA (NBEN_LNC011318)". The record is from RNAcentral. Lineage: Eukaryota; Viridiplantae; Streptophyta; Magnoliopsida; Solanales; Solanaceae.